UGGGAAUAUUGCACAAUGGGCGCAAGCCUGAUGCAGCGACGUCGCGUGGAGGAUGAAGGUUUUCGGAUUGUAAACUCCUGUUAAACGGGAAGAAAGAACUUUAGCUAAUAACUAAGGGAGAUGACGUUACCGUUAAAGAAAGCACCGGCUAACUUCGUGCCAGCAGCCGCGGUAAUACGAAGGGUGCGAGCGUUAUUCGGAAUAACUGGGCGUAAAGGGCGCGUAGGCGGUUUUCUAAGUUGACGGUUAA
This 250-nucleotide ribosomal RNA is filed under the name uncultured bacterium. RNAcentral's name for it is "partial 16S ribosomal RNA". It matches the Rfam family "Bacterial small subunit ribosomal RNA", at positions 356 to 598 of the family's 1533-position model. The record is from RNAcentral.